UGUCACACGGGAACUGCCGGUCAUAAACCGGAGGAAGGUGGGAUGACGUCAAGUCAGCAUGGCCUUUAUAUCCUGGGCUACACACACGCUACAAUGGGAAGGGACAAUAGGUUGCGAAGCCGCGAGGCGGAGCCAAUCCAGCAAAACUUCCCUCAGUUCAGAUUGCAGGCUGCAACCCGCCCUGCAUGAAGUUGGAGUUGCUAGUAAACGCAGGUCAGCCAUACUGCGUUGAAUACGUUCCCGGGGCUU
This 249-nucleotide ribosomal RNA is filed under the name uncultured Anaerolineaceae bacterium. RNAcentral's name for it is "partial 16S ribosomal RNA". It matches the Rfam family "Bacterial small subunit ribosomal RNA", at positions 1136 to 1382 of the family's 1533-position model. Lineage: Bacteria; Bacillati; Chloroflexota; Anaerolineae; Anaerolineales; Anaerolineaceae. The record is from RNAcentral.